GACGAACGCUGGCGGCGUGCUUAACACAUGCAAGUCGAACGGAAAGGCCUUUUCGGAGGUACUCGCGUGGCGAACGGGUGAGUAACACGUGGGUGAUCUGCCCUGCACUCUGGGAUAAGCCUGGGCAACUGGGUCUAAUACCGGAUAGGACCGCACUUUAGUGUGUGUGGUGGGAAGUUUUUUCGGUGUAGGAUGAGCCCGCGGCCUAUCAGCUUGUUGGGGGGGUAAUGGCCUACCAAGGCGGCGACGGGUAGCCGGACUGAGAGGGUGGGCGGCCACAUUGGGACUGAGAUACGGCCCAGACGCCUACGGGAGGCAGCAGUGGGGAAUAUUGCACAAUGGGCGGAAGCCUGAUGCAGCGACGCCGCGUGGGGGAUGACGGCCUUCGGGUUGGAAACUCCUUUCGCCAGGGACGAAGCGUUUUGUGACGGUACCUGGAGAAGAAGCACCGGCUAACUACGUG
This 463-nucleotide ribosomal RNA is filed under the name uncultured bacterium. RNAcentral describes it as "partial 16S ribosomal RNA". It matches the Rfam family "Bacterial small subunit ribosomal RNA", at positions 28 to 507 of the family's 1533-position model. The record is from RNAcentral.